GACGAACGCUGGCGGCGUGCCUAAUACAUGCAAGUAGAACGCUGAAGGAGGAGCUUGCUCUUCUGGAUGAGUUGCGAACGGGUGAGUAACGCGUAGGUAACCUGCCUGGUAGCGGGGGAUAACUAUUGGAAACGAUAGCUAAUACCGCAUAACAGUAGAUGUUGCAUGACAUUUACUGAAAAGGUUCAAUUGCAUCACUACCAGAUGGACCUGCGUUGUAUUAGCUAGUUGGUGGGGUAACGGCUCACCAAGGCGACGAUACAUAGCCGACCGGAGAGGGGGAUCGGCCACACUGGGACGGAGACACGGCCCAGACUGCUACGGGAGGGGGCAGUAGGGAAUCGUCGGCAAGGGACGGAAGUCUGAGCGAGCAACGCCGCGUGAGUGAAGAGGGUUUUCGGAUCGGAAAGCUCUGUUGUAAGAGAAGAACGAGUGUGAGAGUGGAAAGUUCACACUGUGACGGUAUCUUAUAAGAAAGGGACGGCUAACUACGUG
This 495-nucleotide ribosomal RNA is filed under the name uncultured bacterium. RNAcentral's name for it is "partial 16S ribosomal RNA". It matches the Rfam family "Bacterial small subunit ribosomal RNA", at positions 28 to 507 of the family's 1533-position model. The record is from RNAcentral.